GAUGAAGAACGCAGCGAAAUGCGAUAAUUAAUGUGAAUUGCAGAAUUCAGUGAAUCAUCGAAUCUUUGAACGCACAUUGCGCCCGCCAGUAUUCUGGCGGGCAUGCCUGUUCGAGCGUCAUUACAACCCUCAGGCCCCCGGGCCUGGCGUUGGGGAUCGGCGGAAGCCCCCUGCGGGCACAACGCCGUCCCCCAAAUACAGUGGCGGUCCCGCCGCAGCUUCCAUUGCGUAGUAGCUAACACCUCGCAACUGGAGAGCGGCGCGGCCACGCCGUAAAACACCCAACUUCUGAAUGUUGACCUCGAAUCAGGUAGGAAUACCCGCUGAACUUAAGCAUAUCAAUAAGCGGAGGA
Molecule: unclassified non-coding RNA, 353 nt
Filed under: soil metagenome
Description: partial contains 5.8S ribosomal RNA, internal transcribed spacer 2, and large subunit ribosomal RNA
Rfam family: 5.8S ribosomal RNA (bases 1-120)
Source: RNAcentral